CUUGAUCAAUAUAAAAAAUUACUUGGAUAUCUACUCACUCGUUAGUAAUUUUCUUGAUGCUGUAGUGGUGUGACUGAUCUUUUGACCUACAGUGCAUUGGCUAUUCAUGAUGAGGCUAUUUAGUUUGACUGCACGUUCCCUUGUCCCUAGCCAUUCGGAUCUUUACUGUGUGUAUUGGCUAUUGUAGAUUCAGAUUUGCUGUUUGGAGUAGGAUGCAUCUAGAUGGAAUCUAUCGACUUGGGUAGAAAAGGAGUAGUCCUAUGUGAUUUGCAAAAUUAAGUUCAGAAAGUCUCUGGCCAGAGCAAAUGUGAAUAUUAAAAAAAAUUCAUGAAAUUCAUAAAUAAAUUUGAGUCGAGUCAAUCUGGUAUAUGACUGAUGAUGGGGUUUAACGAGUUCUCCAUAACCUUCAUCUAAUUGGGACUCAUGAUAAAGAGACUGUAUCACAUGAUAACUACACUUAGGGAUUUAUUCUUCUAUUCUAUUGGAUUGCCACUAUAUGCUGCUAGAUGUCACUGGUGAAUCAUGAAAACUCACUAGGACCGAUUUCAGAUCAACGAUCCUUGUUGAGGUGAGUUGGAAUCAUUCCAGCCCAUCGAAAAGAGUUUCGAUGAUACUAUGAUGGAGAUCAUAGUAUGUCUCACUACC
Molecule: long non-coding RNA, 645 nt
Filed under: Elaeis guineensis (African oil palm)
Lineage: Eukaryota; Viridiplantae; Streptophyta; Magnoliopsida; Arecales; Arecaceae
Description: long non-coding RNA (EGUI_LNC069953)
Source: RNAcentral